GAUGAACGCUGGCGGCGUGCCUAAUACAUGCAAGUCGAGCGAACGGACGAGAAGCUUGCUUCUCUGAUGUUAGCGGCGGACGGGUGAGUAACACGUGGAUAACCUACCUAUAAGACUGGGAUAACUUCGGGAAACCGGAGCUAAUACCGGAUGAUAUUUUGAACCGCAUGGUUCAAAAGUGAAAGACGGUCUUGCUGUCACUUAUAGAUGGAUCCGCGCUGCAUUAGCUAGUUGGUAAGGUAACGGCUUACCAAGGCAACGAUGCAUAGCCGACCUGAGAGGGUGAUCGGCCACACUGGAACUGAGACACGGUCCAGACUCCUACGGGAGGCAGCAGUAGGGAAUCUUCCGCAAUGGGCGAAAGCCUGACGGAGCAACGCCGCGUGAGUGAUGAAGGUCUUCGGAUCGUAAAACUCUGUUAUUAGGGAAGAACAUAUGUGUAAGUAACUGUGCACAUCUUGACGGUACCUAAUCAGAAAGCCACGGCUAACUACGUGCCAGCAGCCGCGGUAAUACGUAGGUGGCAAGCGUUAUCCGGAAUUAUUGGGCGUAAAGCGCGCGUAGGCGGUUUUUUAAGUCUGAUGUGAAAGCCCACGGCUCAACCGUGGAGGGUCAUUGGAAACUGGAAAACUUGAGUGCAGAAGAGGAAAGUGGAAUUCCAUGUGUAGCGGUGAAAUGCGCAGAGAUAUGGAGGAACACCAGUGGCGAAGGCGACUUUCUGGUCUGUAACUGACGCUGAUGUGCGAAAGCGUGGGGAUCAAACAGGAUUAGAUACCCUGGUAGUCCACGCCGUAAACGAUGAGUGCUAAGUGUUAGGGGGUUUCCGCCCCUUAGUGCUGCAGCUAACGCAUUAAGCACUCCGCCUGGGGAGUACGACCGCAAGGUUGAAACUCAAAGGAAUUGACGGGGACCCGCACAAGCGGUGGAGCAUGUGGUUUAAUUCGAAGCAACGCGAAGAACCUUACCAAAUCUUGACAUCCUUUGACAACUCUAGAGAUAGAGCCUUCCCCUUCGGGGGACAAAGUGACAGGUGGUGCAUGGUUGUCGUCAGCUCGUGUCGUGAGAUGUUGGGUUAAGUCCCGCAACGAGCGCAACCCUUAAGCUUAGUUGCCAUCAUUAAGUUGGGCACUCUAAGUUGACUGCCGGUGACAAACCGGAGGAAGGUGGGGAUGACGUCAAAUCAUCAUGCCCCUUAUGAUUUGGGCUACACACGUGCUACAAUGGACAAUACAAAGGGCAGCGAAACCGCGAGGUCAAGCAAAUCCCAUAAAGUUGUUCUCAGUCCGGAUUGUAGUCUGCAACUCGACUACAUGAAGCUGGAAUCGCUAGUAAUCGUAGAUCAGCAUGCCACGGUGAAUACGUUCCCGGGUCU
This 1372-nucleotide ribosomal RNA is filed under the name uncultured bacterium. RNAcentral describes it as "bacterial SSU rRNA". It matches the Rfam family "Bacterial small subunit ribosomal RNA", at positions 28 to 1381 of the family's 1533-position model. The record is from RNAcentral.